This 26-nucleotide non-coding RNA is filed under the name Homo sapiens (human). Lineage: Eukaryota; Metazoa; Chordata; Mammalia; Primates; Hominidae. The record is from RNAcentral.
CCCAUGCUCUUAGACUUUGCUUCGUC